Long non-coding RNA from Pseudopipra pipra, 783 nucleotides. RefSeq lists it as uncharacterized. The transcript has 3 exons. Lineage: Eukaryota; Metazoa; Chordata; Aves; Passeriformes; Pipridae. The record is from RefSeq and is a predicted model, not a curated record.
AAUUUUUUUUUUUUUAUAUUUCAGUGAUUUUUGUGCACAGCUUGGCUUUCCUACUGUUUGGCUGUGGGGUAGAGCCAGUUAACUUCUCCUCUGGAUUGGAAGAAGUGCAGUGAAGUUGGGAUGUCCAGACCGGGAAGGCUGCUGUGGAGGCAAUGCCUCCCUACAGUUCUGGGUCUGCUUUCAGUCUCUAAAAGAAGAGCAGCAAGCCUGACAUGCUCCCAAAAGUUGGACCAUCCUUUGGCUGCGACGGAAAGGUGAUGGAAAUCAGCCCAGGUUGACUGGAUAGAAGGGAGCCGUCCUGACACCAACAGAACCCCAGAGGAGCAGAGAAUCAUUCCUUGUGCCAUCCUACCUCCACCUGUCUGUCAGGUAUGUUAAACACCAUUUUGUUAAAUCUUGAGAAGCCUCAUACAUAAAGCUUGUAAAGGAAGUGAGAUGAAGUCCCAGAAAAAGCAUUUACCAGGAUUACUCAAAAGUGCUGCCAAGAAGCAUUUGCACCAUUUACAGCAUUAAUGCAUCUCCUUCUGCUGUGACAAUUUAUCACUUUUUUAGAUCCCUGCAAGCACUGCAGCACAGCUCCCUAGGGAAAGUUCUGCAGGUCACCACUCCAAACAACCCACACCUGCUGAAGGGGUGCAGCUGGUACACAGGGAGCUCCACCAGAGACAGAAAAAACAAAAUGAAGGAGCAAAGAGGACAGAGCCAUGAGCUAGAAAGGACACCUUAGAGGAGAUCACAUGCCAGAGGUGCAGCUAGUCCCAAACCAGUGAGUCUCACCAUUGC